AAGCAGCCUGUGAGGAAGAGGACCCUGAGUGCGGCCCUCUGGCCCCGCGCGGGGGGGAAAGCCCUGUGUGCCUCAGAGUGAAAGUGGAGAUCUCGUGUCCUGCCCCUAGCGGCGUCUGGUCCACAGACAACAACACUCAGAGACUUAGCCGCUCGCUCGCUCGCUCGCUUGCUUGCUUUUUUUAAGCUUGGGAUCGCUGCACAAGUGCAAAGGGUUGUUACUCUUGGACUUGGAACCACUGUGGAGACGCAGGAAGCCUGGCUAAGGUCUUUCUGUGGAGAUGGUUGACAGACACCGCCAGCUCCCGAGAGAAUUCCACUAAAGCCUUUGAUUCAGAGAAGCAAAAGAUUCAAGAGACACUCCAGCUGAGGCACUCUGCCUCACCGCUUCAGCUCCUACUCCCCUCAGCAGAGCCCCAGGAGGAGACUGGAGAGGGGAGGAGGUCUGUGUGCCCACCGCACUAGGGCUUUAAAAGGGCAGGACUCUGGGGAGUAAACGAAAUGAAUUCCCAAGCUCCAUCCACUCAUGUAUAAGGAAAGGGAAAGUGACUACUUGUCUUUGUUCUUAAUGGCAAAGAUGGAGCUGCGAGCCUCUGGCAAGGAAGGAGAGAGGGAAGAAAAGCUUUCGUAGGAUAACAAGAAAACAGCCAAAAGCGUCCUUCUGUGUCAGCCCGGCAGCAUUUGGGAAAUCGGGGGCUUUACCCGUUCUGCUUCAUUAAGUUGCUGCAGAAAGGAAAAAUAAAUAAAUAAAUUGUGAUCUCACCUCCAGAUCCAUAGGCUUCUGCCAGAAGCAUGUUGCUGAGAAGAAAUGUGCGUACCCAAGGCAACAGCAUCCUCGCCUCUUCCGGCUUGCAGGUGUCCGAAUGGGGUCUCCUUGGCAGCAGUCUUGUCUCCUAGAUCCCAGCCUUGCAGUGAGACCAACCCUUGUUAUGCUCUUCUGGUAAACAGCCUCUCUUUAGAACUGGGACCUUCCCAGCUAGCUUGCUGCAGCCGAGGUGUUUUUCAGCUGAAAGGCGCCCCCUGGGUCCUAAGCCUCCUAGAUCGUACCAGAUCGCUAACCCUGAGCCAAGAGAGGAACUCAGCCAAGUCAAGAGUGGCAGAGAGGUUUUGCUUAGCCGCAGAUCCCUGUGAGACCUGCACGACCGCAUCCCCAGGCGUUGCCUCUUUUUCCAUCUGUUGCUGGGGAUUAAACAAGGGUCCACAUAUAUAUGCUAGAUGCAUACAAGUACUCCUGAUGGCAGAGGACUGGAGCCAGAGGCCAAUUCUGGAAGAGAAAAUAGAACACUGUGGUGGAACACUCCAGCCAGUCCAGACAGGCUGGAGGAGGAAAAGAAGAGCUUGCCGAAAACAGUCCUGGAAGUGUAGCUUUCUAUACAGGUUCCUCCAUGGCUGUCCUGGAAUUGACUCUGUAAAUCAGGCUGGCCUUGAACUCAGAGAUCUGCUUGCCCCUGCCUGCCUGAGUUCUGGGAUUAAAGAUGUGUGCUACAGCUACCUGGCUAUGAUUUCAAAAUUGUAAAGGAGUAAUAAAUAGGAACUUCUUUGAUGUGACAAAGAAUAUCUGUGAACACUGAACUAACAUUGUAGUUAACUUACAAGUUUUCACUACUGUGGAGAGGAACAAGAAAGGAUUGCUCUCAUUCCACUCCUCCUUGUACUGCAUGGGAAGUCACAGAAUAUGUCAUGAUUACAAAAAGAAAUAAACAAAGCUUAGAAGGCUGAAAAGACCCUGUCUGUGUUCACAGGUGACUAUGCAUCUCUAGAAAAUCUAAAGACUGGCAGGAAAGUUGUAAUUAAUAAGCCACUGCAGAGAAGGCUUCACCAUGUAAGGUUGAUAUACAAAAUUCAGUUGCUUCCCAAUAGAAAAUGGAAUGUAAGGCAUAGAUUUAACAAAAAGCCUACAAAACCCUGAUGAACAAAAUCAGAGAACUAAAGGGGAGAUAUUCCAGCAGUGGCACACAUGCCUAUAAUCUCACCACUCAGGGAGGCAGAGGCAGGUGAAUCACUGUAGUUCAAGGCCAGCCUGAUAUACAGAGCAAGUCCAGGACAGCCAAGGCUACACAGAGAAACCUUGUCUCAAAACAAACAAACAAACAAAACAAAACAAAACAAAACAAAAAAAAAAAGAAAGAAAAGGAAGGUAUUCCAUGUUUGUGGAUAGGUGGACUCAAGGUUGCCAAGAUGUGAGUCCUUCCAACCUGAUGCAUAGAUUCAUUACAGUCCCAAAGUCCCAGUAAGUUAUUUUGUGGCUAUAAACAAACUGAUCCUAAAGUUUACAUGGGGAGAGAAAAAAAGACUCAGAAUAGCCAAACCAGCACUGAAGAGAGUAUACGUGGAGGACUAACAUUCUCUGAUCCUCAGACUCAAAAUGAGACGGGUGGCAAGAUGGCUCAGUGUGUAAUGGCACUUGCCAUCAAGCAUGACUGAGCGCCAUCCCGGAGACCCACAUGCUAGAAAGAGACAACCUAACAACCAACUGAAAGUUGUCCUCUGACUUCCACAUUUAAGCCACACAAAUAACAAUACAUGCACAUAAAAAAUAAUGAAUGCAGAAUAAAACCUCCUUACACUAAGCCUUUUACUGUGAGAGAAGACAAAUAGAUCAGUGCAAAAAUAAGGCCCAGGGCUGGAGAGAUGGCUGAGAGGUUAAGAGGACUGGCUGUUCUUCCAAAGGUCCUGAGUUCAAUUUCCAGAAACCACAUGUGGCUCACAACCAUCUAUAGUGAGAUCUGGUGCCCUCUUCCAGUGUACAGGCACACGUGCAGGCAAAAUGCUUUAUAAUAAAUCUUUUUAAAAAAAAAUAGGGUCCAAAAAUAGAUCUAGAAAUACUAUAAACUGAUUUUUUAAGGUGGCUCUCACUAUGUUGCCCAGACCAAUCUUGUACUCCUGAGCUCAACUGAUCCUCCUGAGUCAGCCUUGGUCCUCUCACAUAGCUAGAACUACAGGCGAGUUGCCACUGUUUCCAGUGGAGAAACUGAUCUUUGACAAAGGAACAAAAACAGUACAGUGGAAACAAGAUAUUUUUCCCAAGGAUUUUUCCCCAGAACUAUAUAGC
Long non-coding RNA from Psammomys obesus (fat sand rat), 3051 nucleotides. RefSeq lists it as uncharacterized. The transcript has 5 exons. The record is from RefSeq and is a predicted model, not a curated record. Lineage: Eukaryota; Metazoa; Chordata; Mammalia; Rodentia; Muridae.